UACGUAGGGUGCAAGCGUUGUCCGGAAUUAUUGGGCGUAAAGAGCUUGUAGGCGGUUUGUCGCGUCUGCUGUGAAAUUUCGGGGCUCAACCCCGAACUUGCAGUGGGUACGGGCAGACUAGAGUGUGGUAGGGGAGACUGGAAUUCCUGGUGUAGCGGUGAAAUGCGUAGAUAUCGGAAGGAACGCCGGUGGCGAAAGCGGGUCUCUGGACAGUUCCUGACGCUGAGGCACGAAGGUCAGGGGAGCAAACGGG
Molecule: ribosomal RNA, 253 nt
Filed under: uncultured bacterium
Lineage: Bacteria
Description: partial 16S ribosomal RNA
Rfam family: Bacterial small subunit ribosomal RNA
Source: RNAcentral